UGCCAGCAGCCGCGGUAAUACGGAGGGGGUUAGCGUUGUUCGGAAUUACUGGGCGUAAAGCGCACGUAGGCGGAUUAGAAAGUUAGAGGUGAAAUCCUACAGCUCAACUGUAGAGCUGCCUUUGAUACUGGAAAACUUGAGUUAUUGUGAAGUGGUUAGAAUGUGUGGUGUAGCGGUGAAAUGCAUAGAUAUCACACAGAAUACCGAUUGCGAAGGCAGAUCACUAACAAUAUACUGACGCUCAUGGACGAAAGCGUGGGGAGCGAACAGGAUUAGAUA
RNAcentral lists this ribosomal RNA (279 nucleotides) under uncultured bacterium. RNAcentral's name for it is "partial 16S ribosomal RNA". It matches the Rfam family "Bacterial small subunit ribosomal RNA", at positions 506 to 784 of the family's 1533-position model. The record is from RNAcentral.